AUAUCAUGCUGAAAAGUCAGUUCUCAUCCGAUCAUCAAAGUCAAGCAGCAUUGGGCAUGGUCAAUACUUGGGAGGGUGACUGCAAGGGAAUAACCAUAU
RNAcentral lists this ribosomal RNA (99 nucleotides) under Stegodyphus mimosarum. Lineage: Eukaryota; Metazoa; Arthropoda; Arachnida; Araneae; Eresidae. The record is from RNAcentral.